GUGUUUGCUUCGGCAGCACAUAUGCUAAAAUUGGAAAAACACAGAGAAGAUUAGCAUGGCCUAGAGCAAGGGUGACAUGCAAAUCCAUGAAGCGUGCAAGGUUGUU
Small nuclear RNA from Polyodon spathula (Mississippi paddlefish), 106 nucleotides. The record is from RefSeq and is a predicted model, not a curated record. Lineage: Eukaryota; Metazoa; Chordata; Actinopteri; Acipenseriformes; Polyodontidae.